CGGACAAAUUAUUGUAUUCGACUGUAUUCACAGCGUGAAACAGGGGAUUACACUGUUUUUAAACGGAAAGUGAAUCAAUUAACAUAAUAGACUCCU
This is a non-coding RNA of Nicotiana sylvestris (wood tobacco), 96 nucleotides long. The record is from Rfam. Lineage: Eukaryota; Viridiplantae; Streptophyta; Magnoliopsida; Solanales; Solanaceae.